UAGGGAAUAUUGGUAAUGUGCGAAAGCGCGAACCAGCAACGCCGCGUGCACGAUGAAGGCCUUCGGGUUGUAAAGUGCUUUUAGAGAGGAUGAGGAAGGACAGUACUUUCUGAAUAAGCCUCGGCUAACUACGUGCCAGCAGCCGCGGUAAAACGUAGGAGGCUAGCGUUAUCCGGAUUUACUGGGCGUAAAGCGCGUGCAGGUGGUUUCGUAAGUUGGAUGUGAAAGCUCCUGACUUAACUGGGAGAGGUCGUUCAAAACUGCGAGGGUUGAGAGUGGUAGAGGGAGGUGGAAUUCCGGGUGUAGUGGUGAAAUGCGUAGAUAUCCGGAGGAACACCAGUGGCGAAAGCGGCCUCCUGGACCAUUUCUGACACUAAGACGCGAAA
This 386-nucleotide ribosomal RNA is filed under the name uncultured bacterium. RNAcentral describes it as "bacterial SSU rRNA". It matches the Rfam family "Bacterial small subunit ribosomal RNA", at positions 355 to 758 of the family's 1533-position model. The record is from RNAcentral.